RNAcentral lists this ribosomal RNA (301 nucleotides) under uncultured bacterium. RNAcentral's name for it is "partial 16S ribosomal RNA". It matches the Rfam family "Bacterial small subunit ribosomal RNA", at positions 509 to 807 of the family's 1533-position model. The record is from RNAcentral.
CAGUAGCCGCGGUAAUACGAAGGGUGCAAGCGUUAAUCGGAAUUACUGGGCGUAAAGCGUGCGUAGGCGGUGAGUUAAGUCUGCUGUGAAAUCCCCGGGCUCAACCUGGGAAUGGCAAUGGAUACUGGCAAGCUAGAGUGUGUCAGAGGAUGGUGGAAUUCCCGGUGUAGCGGUGAAAUGCGUAGAGAUCGGGAGGAACAUCAGUGGCGAAGGCGGCCAUCUGGGACAACACUGACGCUGAGGCACGAAAGCGUGGGGAGCAAACAGGAUUAGAGACCCGCGUAGUCCCUGUCUCUUAUAC